Molecule: unclassified non-coding RNA, 357 nt
Filed under: soil metagenome
Description: partial contains 5.8S ribosomal RNA, internal transcribed spacer 2, and large subunit ribosomal RNA
Rfam family: 5.8S ribosomal RNA (bases 1-120)
Source: RNAcentral
GAUGAAGAACGUAGCGAAAUGCGAUAAGUAGUGUGAAUUGCAGAAUUCCGUGAAUCAUCGAAUCUUUGAACGCACAUUGCGCCUCCUGGUACUCCGGGAGGCAUGCCUGUCCGAGCGUCAUUAUAACCCUCUCAAGCGUAAUUGCUUGGUGUUGGGGUAGGACCGUCCCCCGCGGCGCUCCGCUCCGAAUUCCAAUGGCAGACGAUGGUGUCAAACGUCAGCGUAGUGAGCAUUUUUUAUCAAAGCAUCGCGAAGCGUCGUCACCCGUCCCGCCCAGAUAAACCCUUCAAUUCCAAGUGUUGACCUCGGAUCAGGUAGGGAUACCCGCUGAACUUAAGCAUAUCAAUAAGCGGAGGA